GAGUUUGAUCCUGGCUCAGAUUGAACGCUGGCGGCAUGCCUUACACAUGCAAGUCGAACGGUAACAGGUCUUCGGAUGCUGACGAGUGGCGAACGGGUGAGUAAUACAUCGGAACGUGUCCCGAUCGUGGGGGAUAACGAAGCGAAAAGCUUUGCUAAUACCGCAUAAGAUCUACGGAUGAAAGCAGGGGACCGCAAGGCCUUGCGCGAACGGAGCGGCCGAUGGCAGAUUAGGUAGUUGGUGGGAUAAAAGCUUACCAAGCCGACGAUCUGUAGCUGGUCUGAGAGGACGACCAGCCACACUGGGACUGAGACACGGCCCAGACUCCUACGGGAGGCAGCAGUGGGGAAUUUUGGACAAUGGGCG
RNAcentral lists this ribosomal RNA (366 nucleotides) under uncultured microorganism. Its description in RNAcentral is "bacterial SSU rRNA". It matches the Rfam family "Bacterial small subunit ribosomal RNA", at positions 9 to 377 of the family's 1533-position model. The record is from RNAcentral.